This 442-nucleotide ribosomal RNA is filed under the name uncultured bacterium. Its description in RNAcentral is "partial 16S ribosomal RNA". It matches the Rfam family "Bacterial small subunit ribosomal RNA", at positions 338 to 795 of the family's 1533-position model. The record is from RNAcentral.
CCUACGGGGGGCAGCAGUAGGGAAUCUUUCACAAUGGGCGAAAGCCUGAUGGAGCAACGCCGCGUGCAGGAUGAAGGCCUUCGGGUUGUAAACUUCUUUUAUAAGCGAGAAAUAUGAUGGUAACUUAUGAAUAAGGAUCGGCUAACUACGUGCCAGCAGCCGCGGUCAUACGUAGGAUCCGAGCAUUAUCCGGAGUGACUGGGUGUAAAGAGUUGCGUAGGUGGCAUAAUAAGUAGCUAGUGAAAUCUGGUGGCUCAACCAUUCAGACUAUUAGCUAAACUGUUAAGCUCGAGACCGUUAGGGGUAACUGGAAUUUCUAGUGUAGGAGUGAAAUCCGUAGAUAUUAGGAGGAACACCAAUAGCGUAGGCAGGUUGCUGGGACGGUUCUGACACUAAGGCACGAAAGCGUAGGGAGCAAACGGGAUUAGAUACCCGUGUAGUC